This 440-nucleotide ribosomal RNA is filed under the name uncultured bacterium. RNAcentral's name for it is "bacterial SSU rRNA". It matches the Rfam family "Bacterial small subunit ribosomal RNA", at positions 338 to 795 of the family's 1533-position model. The record is from RNAcentral.
CCUACGGGAUGCACCAGUGGGGAAUAUCGCACAAUGGGCGCAAGCCUGAUGCAGCCAUGCCGCGUGAGUGAAGAAGGACUUAGGGUUGUAAAGCUCUUUCACCGGUGAAGAUAAUGACGGUAACCGGAGAAGAAGCCCCGGCUAACUUCGUGCCAGCAUCCGCGGUAAUACGAAGGGGGCUAGCGUUGUUCGGAAUUACUGGGCGUAAAGCGCGCGUAGGCGGAUAGAUAAGUCAGAGGUGAAAUCCCGGGGCUCAACCCCGGAAUUGCCUUUGAUACUGUUUAUCUUGAGUGCAGAAGAGGUAAGUGGAAUUCCGAGUGUAGAGGUGAAAUUCGUAGAUAUUCGGAGGAACACCAGUGGCGAAGGCGGCUUACUGGUCUGCAACUGACGCUGAGGCGCUAAAGCGUGGGGAGCAAACAGGAUUAGAUACCCGGGUAGUC